This 469-nucleotide ribosomal RNA is filed under the name Streptomyces lydicus. RNAcentral's name for it is "bacterial SSU rRNA". It matches the Rfam family "Bacterial small subunit ribosomal RNA", at positions 580 to 1048 of the family's 1533-position model. Lineage: Bacteria; Bacillati; Actinomycetota; Actinomycetes; Kitasatosporales; Streptomycetaceae. The record is from RNAcentral.
UUGUCACGUCGGAUGUGAAAGCCCGGGGCUUAACCCCGGGUCUGCAUUCGAUACGGGCAGGCUAGAGUUCGGUAGGGGAGAUCGGAAUUCCUGGUGUAGCGGUGAAAUGCGCAGAUAUCAGGAGGAACACCGGUGGCGAAGGCGGAUCUCUGGGCCGAUACUGACGCUGAGGAGCGAAAGCGUGGGGAGCGAACAGGAUUAGAUACCCUGGUAGUCCACGCCGUAAACGUUGGGAACUAGGUGUGGGCGACAUUCCACGUCGUCCGUGCCGCAGCUAACGCAUUAAGUUCCCCGCCUGGGGAGUACGGCCGCAAGGCUAAAACUCAAAGGAAUUGACGGGGGCCCGCACAAGCAGCGGAGCAUGUGGCUUAAUUCGACGCAACGCGAAGAACCUUACCAAGGCUUGACAUACACCGGAAAACCCUGGAGACAGGGUCCCCCUUGUGGUCGGUGUACAGGUGGUGCAUGG